RNAcentral lists this ribosomal RNA (1491 nucleotides) under Alcaligenes faecalis. Its description in RNAcentral is "bacterial SSU rRNA". It matches the Rfam family "Bacterial small subunit ribosomal RNA". Lineage: Bacteria; Pseudomonadati; Pseudomonadota; Betaproteobacteria; Burkholderiales; Alcaligenaceae. The record is from RNAcentral.
CGAUUGGACGCUAGCGGGAUGCUUUACACAUGCAAGUCGAACGGCAGCGCGAGAGAGCUUGCUCUCUUGGCGGCGAGUGGCGGACGGGUGAGUAAUAUAUCGGAACGUGCCCAGUAGCGGGGGAUAACUACUCGAAAGAGUGGCUAAUACCGCAUACGCCCUACGGGGGAAAGGGGGGGAUCGCAAGACCUCUCACUAUUGGAGCGGCCGAUAUCGGAUUAGCUAGUUGGUGGGGUAAAGGCUCACCAAGGCAACGAUCCGUAGCUGGUUUGAGAGGACGACCAGCCACACUGGGACUGAGACACGGCCCAGACUCCUACGGGAGGCAGCAGUGGGGAAUUUUGGACAAUGGGGGAAACCCUGAUCCAGCCAUCCCGCGUGUAUGAUGAAGGCCUUCGGGUUGUAAAGUACUUUUGGCAGAGAAGAAAAGGUAUCCCCUAAUACGGGAUACUGCUGACGGUAUCUGCAGAAUAAGCACCGGCUAACUACGUGCCAGCAGCCGCGGUAAUACGUAGGGUGCAAGCGUUAAUCGGAAUUACUGGGCGUAAAGCGUGUGUAGGCGGUUCGGAAAGAAAGAUGUGAAAUCCCAGGGCUCAACCUUGGAACUGCAUUUUUAACUGCCGAGCUAGAGUAUGUCAGAGGGGGGUAGAAUUCCACGUGUAGCAGUGAAAUGCGUAGAUAUGUGGAGGAAUACCGAUGGCGAAGGCAGCCCCCUGGGAUAAUACUGACGCUCAGACACGAAAGCGUGGGGAGCAAACAGGAUUAGAUACCCUGGUAGUCCACGCCCUAAACGAUGUCAACUAGCUGUUGGGGCCGUUAGGCCUUAGUAGCGCAGCUAACGCGUGAAGUUGACCGCCUGGGGAGUACGGUCGCAAGAUUAAAACUCAAGGAAUUGACGGGGACCCGCACAAGCGGUGGAUGAUGUGGAUUAAUUCGAUGCAACGCGAAAACCUUACCUACUCUUGACAUGUCUGGAAAGCCGAGAGAUUUGGCCGUGCUCGCAAGAGAACCGGAACACAGGUGCUGCAUGGCUGUCGUCAGCUCGUGUCGUGAGAUGUUGGGUUAAGUCCCGCAACGAGCGCAACCCUUGUCAUUAGUUGCUACGCAAGAGCACUCUAAUGAGACUGCCGGUGACAAACCGGAGGAAGGUGGGGAUGACGUCAAGUCCUCAUGGCCCUUAUGGGUAGGGCUUCACACGUCAUACAAUGGUCGGGACAGAGGGUCGCCAACCCGCGAGGGGGAGCCAAUCUCAGAAACCCGAUCGUAGUCCGGAUCGCAGUCUGCAACUCGACUGCGUGAAGUCGGAAUCGCUAGUAAUCGCGGAUCAGAAUGUCGCGGUGAAUACGUUCCCGGGUCUUGUACACACCGCCCGUCACACCAUGGGAGUGGGUUUCACCAGAAGUAGGUAGCCUAACCGUAAGGAGGGCGCUUACCACGGUGGGAUUCAUGACUGGGGUGAAGUCGUAACAAGGUAGCCGUAUCGAAGUGCUC